Molecule: long non-coding RNA, 456 nt
Filed under: Phoenix dactylifera (date palm)
Lineage: Eukaryota; Viridiplantae; Streptophyta; Magnoliopsida; Arecales; Arecaceae
Description: long non-coding RNA (PDAC_LNC012002)
Source: RNAcentral
CGUGAAUGGCUCCUCCAGUGAUCCCAAGCGGCAAUCUCCCAGCCAAGAGCGCGUCUGCCCUCUCCUUCAUCCCGUGAUCCCCCUCCACGGAUCAAGCUUCCGCGUCUCCAAUGCCAUCAUCGCGCCCAGCCGCUCGCUUGCAUCCAUCUCCUCCAGCGAUCCCGCGUGCAUCAGCUCCCGGAAUCCAAGCCUCCCGUGAUGCUAGCAGUGGUCCCAGCAAAGAUCCCGCAGCGCCCUUUCAUCCAAAUCCCAUCCCCCGCGUCCGAGCUCCAUGGAUCGUGCCGCAGUCAAGCCUCCGAGUCCGCCCCUUCCGGAAUCCCAAGCAUCCUCACUCGACCUAUAAAGAGGGUGCCCAUUGGAAGAAGAAGGGGAGGGGGAGCUCGGCUCGGUGCGGGAUUGGGGCCAAGAAAUAGAGGUUGGGGAGAAGAGGGAAUUCAGCUGGGUGGUGGUCGGCAG